UACGGGGGGGGCAAGCGUUGUUCGGAAUUACUGGGCGUAAAGGGCUCGUAGGUGGCCCACUAAGUCAUACGUGAAAUCCCUCGGCUUAACCGGGGAACUGCGUCUGAUACUGGAUGGCUUGAGGUUGGGAGAGGGAUGCGGAAUUCCAGGUGUAGCGGUGAAAUGCGUAGAUAUCUGGAGGAACACCGGUGGCGAAGGCGGCAUCCUGGACCAAUUCUGACACUGAGGAGCGAAAGCCAGGGGAGCAAACGGG
This 253-nucleotide ribosomal RNA is filed under the name uncultured bacterium. Its description in RNAcentral is "partial 16S ribosomal RNA". It matches the Rfam family "Bacterial small subunit ribosomal RNA", at positions 524 to 776 of the family's 1533-position model. The record is from RNAcentral.